UGCGUAGGCGGUAGGGCAAGUCAGAUGUGAAAGCCCGGGGCUUAACUCCGGGACUGCAUUUGAAACUGCUUUACUAGAGUGCAGGAGAGGAAAGCGGAAUUCCUAGUGUAGCGGUGAAAUGCGUAGAUAUUAGGAAGAACACCAGUGGCGAAGGCGGCUUUCUGGACUGUAACUGACGCUGAGGCACGAAAGCGUGGGGAGCGAACA
RNAcentral lists this ribosomal RNA (207 nucleotides) under uncultured bacterium. Its description in RNAcentral is "partial 16S ribosomal RNA". It matches the Rfam family "Bacterial small subunit ribosomal RNA", at positions 568 to 774 of the family's 1533-position model. The record is from RNAcentral.